Molecule: long non-coding RNA, 210 nt
Filed under: Elaeis guineensis (African oil palm)
Lineage: Eukaryota; Viridiplantae; Streptophyta; Magnoliopsida; Arecales; Arecaceae
Description: long non-coding RNA (EGUI_LNC044055)
Source: RNAcentral
UAGGUUCAAUUAUCCAAAUCAGAUUUGAAUUUCAAGCUUGAUUGGAUCAGGUUUGACAGCUUUUCGAAGUCAUUCGAUUUGGGCUUGAUUUGAAGCAAAUAGAGACCCAAUUUGAACCAGAUUGACUAUGACUUAUAGAGCCCAAGUUCUCUAAGACUCUCUUUCCAGAUCUCAUGCAGAAAAAAAGAGCACACAUGUGGAGAUGCGCCC